Molecule: long non-coding RNA, 770 nt
Organism: Pseudophryne corroboree (corroboree frog)
Lineage: Eukaryota; Metazoa; Chordata; Amphibia; Anura; Myobatrachidae
Exons: 4
Source: RefSeq, a predicted model, not a curated record
ACUAUAUUUCGCGUAUGUUUUAAAUGACAAUAAUAAAAGUUAUAUUUUAACAUUUCUGCCCAUUUACCUUAGGGUAUCUGACUAUAAGAGUAUAUAUUAGUCCGUGUGUGCCCGUAAUAGGGAAUAUCUUUUUUUCUUCUAGUUUUCUUCAUUCAUCUCUCGCCAGGCCGGCUGCCGCGAUCAGAGCUCAGCUCCAAUUGGGCAAUGUUAGUAGAAGCUCAUUGUAUCAGUGGCGGGCAACCACGGCAGCGAUAGUGUGGGAGAUAGUGGAGGCGGUGGACUCCUGCUGGACCAUAUCUCCUCCAUUGUCCAUGGAGUGGUUCACCAUCUGCGCCCCAGAGACACUGGAAUCUUCUGCAGUUGUCAUAACCUACAGACUGACAGUGGGUGACAGAUACAUGUAGGAGCCAGGAGCGACGAGGAGAAAAUGAAGACGCUGUUUGUGUUGGUGGGCGUAGUUCUGUGCUUGGCUUUGGUGGAAGGGAAAUCAGAGUCUUGUCCUGGAAACGAGGAGUACACGACAUGUCCAGGCUGUGAACCUACCUGUGAGAUCAAAAACCCCAUGUGUGUUCAAGCUUGCAUCGGACCCGGACAAUGUCAAUGCAAGAAGGAUUUUGUUCGUGACAGUAAAACUAAACUCUGCAUACGUGUGGGAGAAUGUCCCUGAGCGUGCCCAGCACAGGACACACACGCCAUGACACAGAUAUACAUGCAUGCUGCCAUAUCAUGUAUGCUCUCUCCAUAUUCUAAUAAAGGUGGGAUCAUUGCUG